Molecule: ribosomal RNA, 475 nt
Filed under: uncultured microorganism
Description: bacterial SSU rRNA
Rfam family: Bacterial small subunit ribosomal RNA
Source: RNAcentral
GAGUUUGAUCUUGGCUCAGAUUGAACGCUGGCGGCAUGCUUUACACAUGCAAGUCGAACGGCAGCGCGGGGCAACCUGGCGGCGAGUGGCGAACGGGUGAGUAAUAUAUCGGAACGUACCCAAGAGUGGGGGAUAACGUAGCGAAAGUUACGCUAAUACCGCAUACGAUCUAAGGAUGAAAGUGGGGGAUCGCAAGACCUCACGCUCCUGGAGCGGCCGAUAUCUGAUUAGCUAGUUGGUGAGGUAAAGGCUCACCAAGGCGACGAUCAGUAGCUGGUCUGAGAGGACGACCAGCCACACUGGAACUGAGACACGGUCCAGACUCCUACGGGAGGCAGCAGUGGGGAAUUUUGGACAAUGGGCGCAAGCCUGAUCCAGCAAUGCCGCGUGAGUGAAGAAGGCCUUCGGUUGUAAGACUCUUUGUUCUAGGAAGAAACGGUAAGAGGCGUAAUAUCCUUUGUCUAAUGACGGUACC